Molecule: long non-coding RNA, 979 nt
Organism: Hemicordylus capensis (graceful crag lizard)
Lineage: Eukaryota; Metazoa; Chordata; Lepidosauria; Squamata; Cordylidae
Exons: 3
Source: RefSeq, a predicted model, not a curated record
GAGAGGUGCCUGCAGCCUAGGCGGCAACCAUGCUAUCUUGCACAGACACAAAAAGCCUUUUGGAAGGUUGUGUCUUUGUUGAAGAUGAUGUUUAGCAUUUUAGCAUUCAAGACUCUUCAGACACGGAUUGCGAGAACGCCUGGCCUGAGAAAUUGACACCCGAGUGAAUGGAGGCGAAUGCACCUGCUUAAGUUGAGGAAGGCAGAUCACCAAAGGCGGCAGGAGUCCAGUGGUGAGGAUGGGAGGUCGGGAGAAGCUAAGAAGAAGGAGAGAAGAGACUCUACAGUGGGAGAACCACUUUGGGAAGAGCAGGAUCAGCCCCUUUAUCAUUUUGGUUUCCCUCUUCUGCUGCACCUUCUUCAGUUCGACAGUAUCGCUUUUUUGGUAAUCUGGCGACCGGAAGGAUACACUUUACUUCUGAGGAACAGCUACAACUGGAAACAAGGUCAGCUUCAUGUUGUUGUUGUUGUUGUUGUUGUUGUUAUAGCCCAGUAAGCUUCCAGACCACCUUGGGUUUAUUCUCUCUUUUUGACAGUUAAAGCACCACAUUUUCAUUGAUGCCAGGAGAUGUUGAACAGUAGGGCACACAUCCUGGGGUGCCUCUGUUAUGGCACAAGAGAUAUUCCCAGACUGAUUGGGCAAGGUUCGGACCACAAUGUGUGUCUGGACAUUUAAAUUUGCAUUCUGAUUGGGCAAGACCUCUAGGGUUUUUAAAUUCUGUCUUGAUCGAAUUGGGCAAGAUCUCUAGGAUUUUUAAAUUGUAUAUGGAAUUGGGCAAGAUCAAGGCCUGUGUGGGCCUCGAUUUUUAAAUUGCAUCCCCCAGCUUGACCUUUACAAUUGUAUUCUGAUUGGGCAAGACCUCUAGGGUUUUUAAAUUCUGUAUGGAAUUGGGCAAGAUCAGGGCCUGUGUGGGCCUCGAUUUUUAAAUUGCAUCCCCCAGCUUGACUGAGCACACAAUCUCUAGGUUCCCUUAGAGUGA